RNAcentral lists this transfer RNA (77 nucleotides) under Glaciecola sp. RNAcentral describes it as "tRNA-Val". It matches the Rfam family "tRNA". Rfam says of the family: Transfer RNA (tRNA) molecules are approximately 80 nucleotides in length. Their secondary structure includes four short double-helical elements and three loops (D, anti-codon, and T loops). RNAcentral also lists the same sequence under 2 other names. The record is from RNAcentral. Lineage: Bacteria; Pseudomonadati; Pseudomonadota; Gammaproteobacteria; Alteromonadales; Alteromonadaceae.
GCGCCUAUAGCUCAGUUGGUUAGAGCGCUACCUUGACAUGGUAGAGGUCCCCUGUUCGAGUCAGGGUAGGCGCACCA